AGCUAAAAGAUAUAUUAUAUGAUAUAUUAUGUAUUAAAAACUAACUUUAAAGCUUAAAUGGUAAUUUAGGUAUGACUUUUCAUGGAAAUAAUUGUGUAAAAUUGUUUCAAGAGCUGAAACCUAAAUUGAAACCAAAAAAACAAGAACCAAACCAAAACAGAAACAUUGAAGAAUCGAAGUGGAAUCAUACCGAAAUUUCAAUUCAAUUCCACUUCCUAGGUAGAUAUCGAACCGGAACCAAAAACUGCACACCCUUAAUUGGAAGUUGAUAGUGAUUCACUUCUAAAGCCAUUAGACCAAUAUCUCUUCAAAAGGCUUCCAAGAGAGUGUGAAAGCCCUUGUCCUAAAGUUUCAAGAGUAUGUUAGGAAACUAGUGGUUGAACUCCUGGAAUGGAUAAUCUGUGAACAUCCCUAAAGUUUGCAUAGAUAUAUUGCUGAAAUAUGGUAUUUGGUCAGAUCAUCUGCACUAAUUUUUUAACAAAGACACGUCACAUGAUAAACCAGUCAUGCCACUUGGUUCUACACACUGUCACCUCAUAAAUUGACACAAGCUGCAUUGCUGACUUAUUUCCAUACUGCCGAUGGGAUGGGAAUCAUAGGAUAAGAAUUUAUCACUAGAAAUAACCACUAUGCUUUAGGCAACAGGACAUAUAAAGCAUUCACUCUGCUAACUGAGUUAAAAUCUUCAUGCUAAUCAACAAUAACCAUUAUUCAUUGAUAGGAAAGGAAAAAAAGGAAACUUCAAGGAUACCUCUUUCUUCUUUCCAAAAAUCCAGAAGAUGAGACUAAAAAGCUUCUACAUUUAGAGCACUAAGAUCCUCUAACAAAUAACAGAAAAAGAAAAUUCAUAAAGAUCUUCCAUGCUUGCUCAUUUAGCAUUCCCUUGCAAAUUAGUGCAAAAACAAAACCUCACAUCCCACCCCUCUCCCCCCAACCCAAUCAUACACAACAGAGACACAAAGGAGUAGGGGGAGAGAGAGAG
RNAcentral lists this unclassified non-coding RNA (982 nucleotides) under Hevea brasiliensis (rubber tree). The record is from RNAcentral. Lineage: Eukaryota; Viridiplantae; Streptophyta; Magnoliopsida; Malpighiales; Euphorbiaceae.